This 243-nucleotide ribosomal RNA is filed under the name uncultured bacterium. RNAcentral's name for it is "partial 16S ribosomal RNA". It matches the Rfam family "Bacterial small subunit ribosomal RNA", at positions 1257 to 1500 of the family's 1533-position model. The record is from RNAcentral.
GCGAGGUGGAGCAAAUCCCUAAAAGCCAUCCCAGUUCGGAUUGCAGGCUGCAACCCGCCUGUAUGAAGUUGGAAUCGCUAGUAAUCGCGGAUCAGCAUGCCGCGGUGAAUACGUUCCCGGGCCUUGUACACACCGCCCGUCACACCAUGAGAGUCGGGAACACCCGAAGUCCGUAGCCUAACCGCAAGGGGGGCGCGGCCGAAGGUGGGUUCGAUAAUUGGGGUGAAGUCGUAACAAGGUAGC